GGGUUGUGAGGUUAAGCGACUAAGCGUACACGGUGGAUGCCCUGGCAGUCAGAGGCGAUGAAGGACGUGCUAAUCUGCGAUAAGCGCCGGUAAGGUGAUAUGAACCGUUAUAACCGGCGAUUUCCGAAUGGGGAAACCCAGUGUGAUUCGUCACACUAUCAUUAACUGAAUCCAUAGGUUAAUGAGGCGAACCGGGGGAACUGAAACAUCUAAGUACCCCGAGGAAAAGAAAUCAACCGAGAUUCCCCCAGUAGCGGCGAGCGAACGGGGAGGAGCCCAGAGCCUGAAUCAGCAUGUGUGUUAGUGGAAGCGUCUGGAAAGGUGCGCGAUACAGGGUGACAGCCCCGUACACAAAAGCGCAUGUGCUGUGAGCUCGAUGAGUAGGGCGGGACACGUGGUAUCCUGUCUGAAUAUGGGGGGACCAUCCUCCAAGGCUAAAUACUCCUGACUGACCGAUAGUGAACCAGUACCGUGAGGGAAAGGCGAAAAGAACCCCGGCGAGGGGAGUGAAAAAGAACCUGAAACCGUGUACGUACAAGCAGUGGGAGCACAGGUUUACCUGUGUGACUGCGUACCUUUUGUAUAAUGGGUCAGCGACUUAUAUUCUGUAGCAAGGUUAACCGUAUAGGGGAGCCGGAGGGAAACCGAGUCUUAACCGGGCGUUAAGUUGCAGGGUAUAGACCCGAAACCCGGUGAUCUAGCCAUGGGCAGGUUGAAGGUUGGGUAACACUAACUGGAGGACCGAACCGACUAAUGUUGAAAAAUUAGCGGAUGACCUGUGGCUGGGGGUGAAAGGCCAAUCAAACCGGGAGAUAGCUGGUUCUCCCCGAAAGCUAUUUAGGUAGCGCCUCGUGAAUUCAUCUCCGGGGGUAGAGCACUGUUUCGGCUAGGGGGCCAUCCCGGCUUACCAACCCGAUGCAAACUGCGAAUACCGGAGAAUGUUAUCACGGGAGACACACGGCGGGUGCUAACGUCCGUCGUGAAGAGGGAAACAACCCAGACCGCCAGCUAAGGUCCCAAAGUCAUGGUUAAGUGGGAAACGAUGUGGGAAGGCCCAGACAGCCAGGAUGUUGGCUUAGAAGCAGCCAUCAUUUAAAGAAAGCGUAAUAGCUCACUGGUCGAGUCGGCCUGCGCGGAAGAUGUAACGGGGCUAAACCAUGCACCGAAGCUGCGGCAGCGACGCUGAUGCGUUGUUGGGUAGGGGAGCGUUCUGUAAGCCUGCGAAGGUGACCUGUGAGGGUUGCUGGAGGUAUCAGAAGUGCGAAUGCUGACAUAAGUAACGAUAAAGCGGGUGAAAAGCCCGCUCGCCGGAAGACCAAGGGUUCCUGUCCAACGUUAAUCGGGGCAGGGUGAGUCGACCCCUAAGGCGAGGCCGAAAGGCGUAGUCGAUGGGAAACGGGUUAAUAUUCCCGUACUUGGUGUUACUGCGAAGGGGGGACGGAGAAGGCUAUGUUGGCCGGGCGACGGUUGUCCCGGUUUAAGCGUGUAGGUGUGUGUUCCAGGUAAAUCCGGUUCACUUUAACACUGAGGCGUGAUGACGAGGCACUACGGUGCUGAAGCAACAAAUGCCCUGCUUCCAGGAAAAGCCUCUAAGCAUCAGGUAACAUCAAAUCGUACCCCAAACCGACACAGGUGGUCAGGUAGAGAAUACCAAGGCGCUUGAGAGAACUCGGGUGAAGGAACUAGGCAAAAUGGUGCCGUAACUUCGGGAGAAGGCACGCUGACACGUAGGUGAAGUGAUUUACUCACGGAGCUGAAGUCAGUCGAAGAUACCAGCUGGCUGCAACUGUUUAUUAAAAACACAGCACUGUGCAAACACGAAAGUGGACGUAUACGGUGUGACGCCUGCCCGGUGCCGGAAGGUUAAUUGAUGGGGUCAGCGCAAGCGAAGCUCCUGAUCGAAGCCCCGGUAAACGGCGGCCGUAACUAUAACGGUCCUAAGGUAGCGAAAUUCCUUGUCGGGUAAGUUCCGACCUGCACGAAUGGCGUAAUGAUGGCCAGGCUGUCUCCACCCGAGACUCAGUGAAAUUGAACUCGCUGUGAAGAUGCAGUGUACCCGCGGCAAGACGGAAAGACCCCGUGAACCUUUACUAUAGCUUGACACUGAACAUUGAGCCUUGAUGUGUAGGAUAGGUGGGAGGCUUUGAAGUGUGGACGCCAGUCUGCAUGGAGCCGACCUUGAAAUACCACCCUUUAAUGUUUGAUGUUCUAACGUGGACCCGUAAUCCGGGUUGCGGACAGUGUCUGGUGGGUAGUUUGACUGGGGCGGUCUCCUCCUAAAGAGUAACGGAGGAGCACGAAGGUUGGCUAAUCCUGGUCGGACAUCAGGAGGUUAGUGCAAUGGCAUAAGCCAGCUUGACUGCGAGCGUGACGGCGCGAGCAGGUGCGAAAGCAGGUCAUAGUGAUCCGGUGGUUCUGAAUGGAAGGGCCAUCGCUCAACGGAUAAAAGGUACUCCGGGGAUAACAGGCUGAUACCGCCCAAGAGUUCAUAUCGACGGCGGUGUUUGGCACCUCGAUGUCGGCUCAUCACAUCCUGGGGCUGAAGUAGGUCCCAAGGGUAUGGCUGUUCGCCAUUUAAAGUGGUACGCGAGCUGGGUUUAGAACGUCGUGAGACAGUUCGGUCCCUAUCUGCCGUGGGCGCUGGAGAACUGAGGGGGGCUGCUCCUAGUACGAGAGGACCGGAGUGGACGCAUCACUGGUGUUCGGGUUGUCAUGCCAAUGGCACUGCCCGGUAGCUAAAUGCGGAAGAGAUAAGUGCUGAAAGCAUCUAAGCACGAAACUUGCCCCGAGAUGAGUUCUCCCUGAGACUUAGAGUCUCCUGAAGGAACGUUGAAGACGACGACGUUGAUAGGCCGGGUGUGUAAGCGCAGCGAUGCGUUGAGCUAACCGGUACUAAUGAACCGUGAGGCUUAACCUUACAACGCCGAAG
This 2929-nucleotide ribosomal RNA is filed under the name Salmonella enterica subsp. enterica. Its description in RNAcentral is "23S ribosomal RNA". It matches the Rfam family "Bacterial large subunit ribosomal RNA". Lineage: Bacteria; Pseudomonadati; Pseudomonadota; Gammaproteobacteria; Enterobacterales; Enterobacteriaceae. The record is from RNAcentral.